UUCAGGGAGGUAAAUCUCCUAAGGCUAAAUACAGGCGAGAGACCGAUAGCGAACAAGUACCGUGAGGGAAAGAUGAAAAGAACUUUGAAAAGAGAGUCAAACAGUACGUGAAAUUCGUUGAAAGGGAAACGAUUGAAGCCAGUCGUACCGUCGGGAAUUCAACUUCUUAAGUGCUUGCCGUGGGUGACGUUGAGCUUCGCGGCCUUCGUCGCUUUGCGUUAUGGUACUUUUGUGGUGCACUUUUCCGUAUGGUAGGUCAAUAUCGAUUUUGGUCGUCAUAAAAUGAUCGGAGGAUGUAGCUUCGAUCUG
Molecule: ribosomal RNA, 309 nt
Filed under: uncultured Glomeromycotina
Lineage: Eukaryota; Fungi; Glomeromycota
Description: partial large subunit ribosomal RNA
Rfam family: Eukaryotic large subunit ribosomal RNA
Source: RNAcentral